CUGCGCGCUCGUGCGCAGCCGAGGUCGCGCGCCCGUCAUACCCUUGCUGGGGGCCUUAAAGCGCGGAAGGUCGCGGGCCCCAUCUUCCCCGGAACUUUUUAUUCCUCAGGCCCGCCCCUCUUCCCCCACCCGCUUCCCGCUCUCCUGCCCGCGGCGAGCCCCGCACCCGCCGUGCCGCGCUUCGCUUCGGCCGCCGUGUUGUUGAGCGCGGAGCGCGAGCGGCCGCUGAGGAUUCCCGUCCACAUUCCAGGGGCGUGGUGAGGGUAUUCAAAUCCUGACCCCAGAAGGCAAAGAACUUCUCAAUUCGGAGACUGCGAAGAGCAUAAUACCCAGCAUUCCGGAUUCCAUAUUUCUGUCCAACAUUCAUCACUUCAUUGUAUACGUGAAGAGCAUACUAUACAAAGAAAGGAAAGGUGGAACAAAGUACUUUGGCCUCUCAAAUCCAUGUUUCUCCAUCCAUCUGGCUCCUUGUGCAUCCAGCCGGUCAUACAGAGGAGAUGUGCGCAACUGCCUACCCGUCUGGAAGUCCCAACGGGGAACCUUCAGAUCGUAUAUCAGAGCUAAAAGAGACAAGAGUCUAUCAAAGUUCAAGUCACAGAUUCUGGAGCUGAAUAUCCAAUAUCCACUAGACUUGAAUCAUUUCUAUUCAUGAGAGAAUAAUUUGCAGGCUAAUGCAGCCUAAUUUGUCAGGUAUUACCUAGUAUUGACAGGCAUGAUCCAAAAGAAAGGACAACACUGUAAGACCAUAUAAAGCUAUCUACCAGUGA
Ictidomys tridecemlineatus (thirteen-lined ground squirrel) is the source of this 767-nucleotide long non-coding RNA. RefSeq lists it as uncharacterized. The record is from RefSeq and is a predicted model, not a curated record. Lineage: Eukaryota; Metazoa; Chordata; Mammalia; Rodentia; Sciuridae.